CUCUCCCCGACCUAUCGAUCUCUCCGUCAGGAGUCUGGACCAAGAAGAUGUCGCCCCCCUUCCCGACCCCGAUUCCAGUAGCCGCUGCCAUGACACAGCCUCCUACGGGUAGUGCACAACGAUGUGGGGGUCCGCCUCGGUCACGAUCCCAUCAUUUAGCGCCUCUGCUUCCUCUACCUCACGCACAGUGACGUCGACGAGACGGAGAUUCUUGGUGCGAGGGGAUCCCCAGAAAACCAAGGAGGUGUGCCCCACCCCCCUUCAUGUGGUAAAUUGGGCGAUGCACUCCUAGUGACUUGGUGAGGGAGUAUAAACCGGCAGGAGUCCGACGAUGGAGAGGGAUGCAGUGCCUGAGGACUGGGAGGGAGAGAUGGGGGCGAUGGAUUUGCUGGAAAUUCAUGCGAAUGCCUUCGCCGGUAGCUGUCGAUAUGGCCGGCGCCAGCACGGCCAUCAACAAAGUUUGGUUUCUCUUUGGCGUCAUGAGCACACCCCUUCUGCCUGUUCCAUCCCUGCAUCUCAGCGUUAAGGGCACGCACUCGCCGCACUCCUGCUCGAAUGUCCAAUUGAACAAAGAAGGAGCUCCUAGCAGAAUGUUGGUGGUUUAGGAUUAUGUGUUAUUGGACAAGAGUGAUCAUCCCAUUGAGUAGAAAUGUUAUUUUGAUAAUCAUUUGUAGGAUUGUCCCAUGAAUUAUUUUCGCACAAAAAUGAUUUCUGUCUUGAAGUAGAAAUGAUGUUCCCUAAUUGGUAACAGACUGGAGAAGAAUGUCUACAUAAACAAAGUAUGCAAUGUGUCUUUGGCUUUUUCAGUCUGCCAUGUUUUAGCUUCAUAUGAAACAAAAUGCCAUUCUAAUAUUGCCUAAAUGGGGAUGAAGAAGGGGCUCCUAGCAGAGGCCCACGGUGAGACUGCAGUGCGGCCAGGCCAGUUUUUGGAGGCAUUAUUAAAGCUAUUGGUGCUUGCUGGUGAAUUUUUCUUGCAGAGGUCGCUCUCAUGUUACAUUGCAAUCUGCCAUCUCUAGUACUAGAGCAAAUAAAACAGGUAACAUUCCAUAUUUAAACAAUUCUGAACAUGCUUGAUGGCUAUGAUAGCUUAUCAGAAAUUUUGAUUGUCGUGUAUGUACUUGAAUUAAGACUACAAGAUUCUUCUGAACAAGGAUUUGUUUAGAAUCAAAUAAUGUGGUGCCCGCAUCAAACUAGACAUUUGUAGCUCAUAUGGAAGAUUAUGUUGUUUUGUCUCUCGAUGUGUGGCUUUCCUUCUGAUUGUUCUUUUGAACCAGCCCUAACCAUAUCCAGUUAUAUUGAGAGCUGAAAAACAUCAGGUCAUGUGGCUUUGCUUGUCCAUUUUUUUUACUCAGCUUAUGUUCACGCUUUCUUCCACUGAGGCUUCCAUAACCCUAAUAAUCUACGCAUUUUUAUUGAUGAGUUGAAUCCUGCCAUUACUUAGACAAGCUAAGAUAUUUUUAUUUUCCAUGUUUGAAUGUUAUAUGUAUCUUAAACACCCAUGAUGCAGGGUUGUGAUGGUAAGCCAAAGCCAUAUUGGUGAGUGGCUGAUAAGACAAAAGGCAAUAAAUGCUUAUUCAAUUUCUUGCUUUUAUGUAGGUGGGAAAAUCUUAAUAUGCGAUUAAUCAGGUGCUAGAAGUGUGGCCUCAUCCCAUUUUUGGGUUUAUUUCACUUAAACAACCAUGAAGUAGUAUAUAUGUGCAUCAUCAGCAACCAAGCACCUCAUUCUUCAGGCAACGCAGGCCAUCAGGGUUCUAGUAGAGCUUCAUAAUCGAGGUGCCUAAGAGCACACAUCUUACAUUCGAAGUUGAUCCCCACAAAUUCGUGAGAGAGUAGGCUUAAUCUCUAGGUGUUUGGGUGGUUUGUAUCCUUGUGAGGAUGUUUGCAUCCUAUACAAGUUCUUGUAAAUGUCUUUCUGCCUUCAACUACAUGAUCAUGAUCAACACCAUCACCCAAGGUAUGUUAUUCCAUCUUAGAGAAGCUUUACUCCAAGUCAUGAGUCAAUGCAACUCGACAAGAUGCGAAUACAUCAAGAUGCUUAAACGAAAAAUGGUAACCCCAUUUUGAGCUUAAACGAUGAGUA
Long non-coding RNA from Triticum aestivum (bread wheat), 2080 nucleotides. RefSeq lists it as uncharacterized. The transcript has 3 exons. The record is from RefSeq and is a predicted model, not a curated record. Lineage: Eukaryota; Viridiplantae; Streptophyta; Magnoliopsida; Poales; Poaceae.